This 279-nucleotide ribosomal RNA is filed under the name uncultured bacterium. RNAcentral's name for it is "partial 16S ribosomal RNA". It matches the Rfam family "Bacterial small subunit ribosomal RNA", at positions 506 to 784 of the family's 1533-position model. The record is from RNAcentral.
UGCCAGCCUCCGCUGUACUCCUGAUUGGGCUAUCGUUAUUCGGAUUUACUGGGCGUAAAGCGCACGUAGGCGGCGUAUCUAGUCAGAGGUGAAAGCCCGGGGCUCAACCCCGGAAUUGCCUUUGAUACUGGUAUGCUUGAGUUCGGAAGAGGGUAGUGGAAUUCCAAGUGUAGAGGUGAAAUUCGUAGAUAUUUGGAAGAACACCGGUGGCGAAGGCGGCUACCUGGUCCGAUACUGACGCUGAGGUGCGAAAGCGUGGGGAGCGAACAGGAUUAGAUA